GGGAAUCUUCCACAAUGGACGCAAGUCUGAUGGAGCAACGCCGCGUGAGUGAAGAAGGUCUUCGGAUCGUAAAGCUCUGUUGUUGGUGAAGAAGGAUAGAGGCAGUAACUGGUCUUUAUUUGACGGUAAUCAACCAGAAAGUCACGGCUAACUACGUGCCAGCAGCCGCGGUAAUACGUAGGUGGCAAGCGUUGUCCGGAUUUAUUGGGCGUAAAGCGAGCGCAGGCGGAAUGAUAAGUCUGAUGUGAAAGCCCACGGCUCAACCGUGGAACUGCAUCGGAAACUGUCAUUCUUGAGUGCAGAAGAGGAGAGUGGAACUCCAUGUGUAGCGGUGGAAUGCGUAGAUAUAUGGAAGAACACCAGUGGCGAAGGCGGCUCUCUGGUCUGCAACUGACGCUGAGGCUCGAAAGCAUGGGUAGCGAACAGGAUUAGAUACCCUGGUAGUCCAUGCCGUAAACGAUGAGCGCUAGGUGUUGGGGACUUUCCGGUCCUCAGUGCCGCAGCAAACGCAUUAAGCGCUCCGCCUGGGGAGUACGACCGCAAGGUUGAAAC
Molecule: ribosomal RNA, 552 nt
Filed under: uncultured bacterium
Lineage: Bacteria
Description: partial 16S ribosomal RNA
Rfam family: Bacterial small subunit ribosomal RNA
Source: RNAcentral